AGCUGUGAAGGGAAUCUGAACAGGACAUUUGUGAACCCAUUGGUUGCCAGGGUUGAUACAGCUGACCUGGCUGGCCAGGUAGGUACCCGUCCUCCUUCACUACUUUAUGUGAAUCCCUACCAAGAUCAUGGUCUAGAAGAGGAGGACCAUCCUCCAGUCAAGGGAAUAUAAAUUGCUGUGGUCCCCUGCUGGAAUUUACAAACAAGCUAUUGACACAUUUCCACCUGAAGUGAAAGCCCUUGUGUUAGCCUGGUUGGGAAGUCACUGAGGGUUAAUCCUUAAAAGCACACUUGCCACCUCCUAG
Molecule: small nuclear RNA, 304 nt
Filed under: Jaculus jaculus (lesser Egyptian jerboa)
Lineage: Eukaryota; Metazoa; Chordata; Mammalia; Rodentia; Dipodidae
Description: 7SK RNA (ENSJJAG00000004612.1)
Rfam family: 7SK RNA
About the family: 7SK was discovered as an abundant small nuclear RNA in the mid-70s but a possible function has only recently been suggested. Two independent studies have found that 7SK RNA binds the CDK9/cyclin T complex (known as elongation factor P-TEFb). P-TEFb activates transcription by phosphorylating the C-terminal domain of RNA polymerase II.
Source: RNAcentral